RNAcentral lists this ribosomal RNA (388 nucleotides) under Crypthecodinium cohnii. RNAcentral describes it as "partial Bacterial large subunit ribosomal RNA". It matches the Rfam family "Bacterial large subunit ribosomal RNA", at positions 858 to 1243 of the family's 2925-position model. The record is from RNAcentral. Lineage: Eukaryota; Dinophyceae; Gonyaulacales; Crypthecodiniaceae.
CGCGAAAACUAUUGAGGUAGUGCCUCGGAUGGACACCUCAGGGGGUAGAGCACUGGAUGGUUGCGGGGGUCGCGAGAUCUACCAAUACUAACCAAACUCCGAAUACCUGAGAGUGAUAUCCGGGAGACAGACGGCGGGUGCUAAGGUCCGUCGUCAAAAGGGAAACAGCCCUAACCUACAGCUAAGGUCCCCAAGUCAUAGUUAAGUGGGAAAGCAUGUGGGAAUGCUUAGACAACCAGGAGGUUGGCUUAGAAGCAGCCAUCCUUUAAAGAUAGCGUAACAGCUCACUGGUCUAGAUAAGCUGUCCUGCGGCGAAGAUGUAACGGGGCUCAAGCCGUGCACCGAAGCUGAGGAUGCGUAGCGAUACGCGUGGUAGCAGAGCGUGGCG